GACGAACGCUGGCGGCGUGCUUAACACAUGCAAGUCGAACGGAAAGGCCCUGCUUUUGGGGGGUGCUCGAGUGGCGAACGGGUGAGUAACACGUGAGUAACCUGCCCUUGACUUUGGGAUAACUUCAUGAAACUGGGGCUAAUACCGGAUAGGAGCUCCUGCUGCUUGGUGGGGGUUGGAAAGUUUCGGCGGUUGGGGAUGGACUCGCGGCUUAUCAGCUUGUUGGUGGGGUAGUGGGUUACCAAGGCUUUGACGGGUGGCCGGCCUGAGAGGGUGACCGGACACAUUGGGACUGAGAUACGGCCCAGCCUCCUACGGGAGGCAGCAGUGGGGAAUAUUGCACAAUGGGCGGAAGCCUGAUGCAGCAACGCCGCGUGCGGGAUGACGGCCUUCGGGUUGUAAACCGCUUUCGCCUGUGACGAAGCGUGAGUGACGGUAAUGGGUAAAGAAGCACCGGCUAACUACGUG
This 468-nucleotide ribosomal RNA is filed under the name uncultured bacterium. RNAcentral's name for it is "partial 16S ribosomal RNA". It matches the Rfam family "Bacterial small subunit ribosomal RNA", at positions 28 to 507 of the family's 1533-position model. The record is from RNAcentral.